This 788-nucleotide long non-coding RNA is filed under the name Physcomitrium patens. RNAcentral's name for it is "long non-coding RNA (PPAT_LNC007811)". Lineage: Eukaryota; Viridiplantae; Streptophyta; Bryopsida; Funariales; Funariaceae. The record is from RNAcentral.
UAAUGUGCACCAUCAUCCAAGACUCUGGUUUCUAUUCUAGCAAUUGUAAUAUAAGGUUGACCAAGUAUUAUCAAUGUCAUAUGGCAUGAUUUGCUAUCUAAAAAUAUAUUGUAUAGCUACUUGUAGAGAGUGUAGCUUAAACCUUUAUAUGAAUCUUAUCUAAGCUUCCAAAACUCUUUUAUUUUGCAUAAAACUCAAAAUAUAAUAAAAUCCCUUCAAAACAUAUUUUUUCCACAAAGGGAUUUCUUUUCCUAAACUUUAGAAAUUCAUAACUUUUGAUCUAACUAUUUAAUUUGUCUCAAAUUUAUAGAAUAGGUAUAAUUCACCCUUAAAUUUUAUCACACAAAAAAACCAACUGCAAAUUCACUUCCGAUCUUCUCGCAUCUAAGAAAUCCUAGCAGAUGCUCUAAACCCUAAUUUACAAGCAUCCAAGCACUAUUUUCUUAAUAUCUCAAGAAUCCAAUACUCAAAUGUCAUCAAACUUUUAUAAAAAGUUUAUCAACAUGAAUUUACACAUUCUUAGAAAUUUGAGUCAAAACCUUGUCAAAUUGCUCAAGAUAUAGCUCAAGACACAACCACUGGUAAAUUAGGUCACUUACUACCCUUAGAUUGCAUGUGCUGACUUCAAAAUCCAAUAACUCCUUCAUCCAAACUUGGAAUCCAGCAACAAAUAUGCAAAAAAUAUAGCCACAAAAGUGUUCUCUCUAGUCGAAGUCACCAAUCUUCAAUUGCUAUUUGUAUGCAUGCGAUAUGCCAAAAAGAGUGACAAUAGCUCCCAAAUCAACACC